Molecule: ribosomal RNA, 253 nt
Filed under: uncultured soil bacterium
Lineage: Bacteria
Description: partial 16S ribosomal RNA
Rfam family: Bacterial small subunit ribosomal RNA
Source: RNAcentral
AGGACGAACGCUGGCGGCGUGCUUAACACAUGCAAGUCGAGCGGUAAGGCCUUUCGGGGUACACGAGCGGCGAACGGGUGAGUAACACGUGGGUGAUCUGCCCUGCACUUCGGGAUAAGCCUGGGAAACUGGGUCUAAUACCGGAUAUGGCCUCAGGUUGCAUGACUUGGGGUGGAAAGAUUUAUCGGUGCAGGAUGGGCCCGCGGCCUAUCAGCUUGUUGGUGGGUAAUGGCCUACAAGGCGACGACGGGUA